This 494-nucleotide ribosomal RNA is filed under the name uncultured bacterium. RNAcentral describes it as "bacterial SSU rRNA". It matches the Rfam family "Bacterial small subunit ribosomal RNA", at positions 903 to 1397 of the family's 1533-position model. The record is from RNAcentral.
AAAGGAAUAGACGGGGGCCCGCACAAGCGGUGGAGCAUGUGGUUUAAUUCGAUGCAACGCGAAGAACCUUACCUACUCUUGACAUCCAGAGAAUCUGGCGGAGACGCUAGAGUGCCUUCGGGAGCUCUGAGACAGGUGCUGCAUGGCUGUCGUCAGCUCGUGUUGUGAAAUGUUGGGUUAAGUCCCGCAACGAGCGCAACCCUUAUCCUUGUUUGCCAGCACUUCGGGUGGGAACUCCAGGGAGACUGCCGGUGAUAAACCGGAGGAAGGUGGGGACGACGUCAAGUCAUCAUGGCCCUUACGAGUAGGGCUACACACGUGCUACAAUGGCGCAUACAGAGGGCGGCGAGACAGCGAUGUUAAGCGAAUCCCAAAAAGUGCGUCGUAGUCCGGAUUGGAGUCUGCAACUCGACUCCAUGAAGUCGGAAUCGCUAGUAAUCGUGAAUCAGAAUGUCACGGUGAAUACGUUCCCGGGCCUUGUACACACCGCCCGU